GUAGGGAAUCUUCCACAAUGGACGAAAGUCUGAUGGAGCAACGCCGCGUGAGUGAAGAAGGUUCUCGGAUCGUAAAACUCUGUUGUGAGGGAAGAACAAGUACCGGAGUAACUGCCGGUACCUUGACGGUACCUCAUUAGAAAGCCACGGCUAACUACGUGCCAGCAGCCGCGGUAAUACGUAGGUGGCAAGCGUUGUCCGGAAUCAUUGGGCGUAAAGCGCGCGCGUGCGGUCCCUUACGUCUGAUGUGAAAGCCCACGGCGCAACCGUGGAGGGGCAUUGGAAACUGGGGGACUUGAGUGCAGAAGAGGAAAGCGGAAUUCCAAGUGUAGCGGUGAAAUGCGUAGAGAUUUGGAGGAACACCAGUGGCGAAGGCGGCUUUCUGGUCUGUAACUGACGCUGAGGCGCGAAAGCGUGGGGAGCAAACAGGAUUAGAUACCCUGGUAGUCC
Molecule: ribosomal RNA, 450 nt
Filed under: uncultured bacterium
Lineage: Bacteria
Description: partial 16S ribosomal RNA
Rfam family: Bacterial small subunit ribosomal RNA
Source: RNAcentral